RNAcentral lists this ribosomal RNA (502 nucleotides) under uncultured bacterium. RNAcentral describes it as "partial 16S ribosomal RNA". It matches the Rfam family "Bacterial small subunit ribosomal RNA", at positions 30 to 523 of the family's 1533-position model. The record is from RNAcentral.
AUUGAACGCUGGCGGCAGGCUUAACACAUGCAAGUCGAGCGGGGUGAUGGUGCUUGCACUAUCACUUAGCGGCGGACGGGUGAGUAAUGCUUAGGAAUCUGCCUAUUAGUGGGGGACAACAUCUCGAAAGGGAUGCUAAUACCGCAUACGUCCUACGGGAGAAAGCAGGGGAUCACUUGUGACCUUGCGCUAAUAGAUGAGCCUAAGUCGGAUUAGCUAGUUGGUGGGGUAAAGGCCUACCAAGGCGACGAUCUGUAGCGGGUCUGAGAGGAUGAUCCGCCACACUGGGACUGAGACACGGCCCAGACUCCGACGGGAGGCAGCAGUGGGGAAUAUUGGACAAUGGGGGGAACCCUGAUCCAGCCAUGCCGCGUGUGUGAAGAAGGCCUUUUGGUUGUAAAGCACUUUAAGCGAGGAGGAGGCUUUGUGGGUUAAUACCCUGCAAAGUGGACGUUACUCGCAGAAUAAGCACCGGCUAACUCUGUGCCAGCCGCCGCAGUAA